GGCGGGGCGCCUCCAGGGCUAGAAGCUAGGGCAGUUUGUUUUACACCCUCGCCGGGCAGGGAAUGGGACCCUCACUGAUGUCCGGACCCUGGGCAGUGGAAGGUGACGAGGACUCCAAAGGUUGGGCUGAAAGAUGGAAGACUGGGAUGCCCCCGCCCCGCCUACAGCUGAGAAUAAAGAAGAAACUGAGGCAGAGAGCAGCUAAGUUACUUAUCAAGGCCACAGCUGGGUUGGUUCCACCUCAUCAUUACCUGCCUAGGAAACAACCAAGUCUAAGUCCUACAAAGUUUCACUGACUAUGGCUGGAAGCUGUCCUGGUGGCUGGGGAAUCCCUCAGCCCCUUUCCAGGGCAGAGGAGCUGGCUCAUUCCCCACUUCCAAGUGAGAGCUAUGGUAUCCACCACAGACCACAUUACUGCGUGGGAAAACAAGCAAACAUCCCCCAAAUCCAACUUCUCAGCUCUUGCACAAGCACUGCACCCUAAACCAUCCGAGGCUGGUAGGAAGAAACUGACAGCGUGCACUCUCCAGCUGAAGCCAAGGGAAAGUGGAGGGUCUGAGUUUGGAACAGCCAACAGUCACAGGAGAAAAAAAAAAAUUAUGUUUGUUUUCAUUGGCUACCCUGGGAGUACCCAAAACUUCCAGUUACCACAUCUCCACACUCAAUGGGAACAAAAGAGUGGGUCCUCCUAAGCCCCAGAGCCUCCAGCCCACCCUGGAGCGAUCCCACAAGCUGCACGGUGACGCCAGGCCCUGCGUCCAGCUCCCCAGCUACCUCAGCCUUCUCGGUUAGGGAAGCUUUCUUCGCUGGCCUCACGAACCCAAAUCCUCCUCUCCGCGCAACUCCGGGGCACCCUCGCUAUUGUUAUAAUUGUCACUUUCCCGGAAAAAGAAGGCUUCCUACCCAACUCAGAACCCUUCUUGGGCCCUUCCAAUCAGACCUCUCGAGAGCGCCAGCCCCGGUGACGCUCGGGGCCGGGCGUUGGGGCUGACCCCUCCUCACCUCCCCGCAGAUGGGCUUACCUCACCGGCUGCCCGGCCUUUCCUCCAGCUCCUCCCUCUCAGCGCUGCUCAAUGAGGCCUGCCCUGCCCUCACACAGACCGGGGCCUCGCGUGCCCACUCCCAGCCCCGCCGCCGGCAGAACCCAGCCUCACCAACUUCGGGCUCCCAGCCCGCCUAGCCCCCUCCCCAGCGCCCCCAUAAGGCCUGCCGGGGCCCGGCCCCCUUCUCCCCUCUCCAGCGGGCCGCUCUAACCCCAUCGCUGAGGCCCAGACCCGCCUCUGCUCUCAGGCCAGGCUGCUCUCCUCUCCCGGGCGCCUCCGCCCCUACCCUACAGGGCUCCAUCAGCCCGGUACCUGGGGCUCCGUCUCCCCCGUCGGGCCCAAGCCUGUGUCGAACAGACAAACAGCCGCAGCUCAACCAAACCCUCCAGCCCCUCCUCCUCCUCCUCGCCCUGGGGCGGGGGCCCCGGCCAAUAGCACGAUUACGCCUACCAUCAAGGGUGGGCUCUGUGUGCGCCGCUCCGCCAAUCCUCCGGAGAAAGGCGGGCCUGUUUCGGCGCUGUCACCAACGAGGACUAGCCUGGGACCGGACAGGCGUGUCCCCAGGCCAAUAGGAAGAGGGAAACCUUGAAUAUGGACAGGGUGAGGAGCCAUUGACAGGGAGCUCCCCGAGACAGGAGGCGGCACACUGUUGACAGGCGUACAGACCAACCAAUAAACUCUUGACACCCUCAUGA
Molecule: long non-coding RNA, 1738 nt
Organism: Myotis myotis
Lineage: Eukaryota; Metazoa; Chordata; Mammalia; Chiroptera; Vespertilionidae
Exons: 3
Source: RefSeq, a predicted model, not a curated record